This 147-nucleotide small nuclear RNA is filed under the name Carlito syrichta (Philippine tarsier). Its description in RNAcentral is "U1 spliceosomal RNA (ENSTSYG00000028387.1)". It matches the Rfam family "U1 spliceosomal RNA", at positions 1 to 149 of the family's 166-position model. Rfam says of the family: U1 is a small nuclear RNA (snRNA) component of the spliceosome (involved in pre-mRNA splicing). The record is from RNAcentral. Lineage: Eukaryota; Metazoa; Chordata; Mammalia; Primates; Tarsiidae.
AUACUUACCUGGCAGGGGAGAUACCAUAAUCACGAGGGUGGUUUUCCUAGGGCAAGGCCUAUUCCUUGCACUCUGGAUGUGCUAAUCCCUGCAAUUUCCCCAAAUGUGGGAAACUUGACUGUAUAAUUUGUGGUAGUGGGGAACUGU